GUCAAAGCCUUGUAGAACCUUAGAAGUCUCAUUUGCCCACAAGGAAACUAUCUGGCCAGGAUUUUCUUGGGGUCACACAAGGAUUGACUGAGCAGGGCCGAUGCUCCAAGUUAAACAGGAAAAGGCACAAAGACAGCUUCAGCUUUGCGGGUAACAUUCCUCCUCUCCUGGCAAUGGUCACCUGAACUGAGGACCUAACCCACAAUCAGUUGCCCACGUCUUGGGAUCAUUCUGGAAAAGAAAAGUCAGAACAAUUUACAUAGAGAUGGGAUUUUGUUUUGGAGAAUGGAGUGAAUGUAAAUAGAGAUGUCUGUGUGAAUACUCAAAACUCAGGGCAAAGGGAAUAUCAGAUUUAUUCUGGACUUCAGACUGCCCUGCAACCCAAGAGCCGACUUUCAACCUUAAUUCCAUACCUAGCAGGAAGGAGAAGAAAAUAUACACGGAACCUUGAAGAGAAUAUACAGAAGCUAUGGAUCCCUGGUCAGGAUUGUAACUCACACUGGAAUGGGGCCACCAUUCCCUGUGGACUUAUCAAGCCACACCCCUGCCUUUUUUUUUUUUUUUUAAACCAACCACACUUAACACAGCUUUUGGCUAUUUUGUUCCCAAUGCUGUGCCAGUGGCAUGAUUUUAGAGAAAUUUGGAAUGUGAAACUGUCAGAGAGUAUUUUGUAGGGGAUUAGAAGUGUUUGGGCUACUCAGGAAAUAGGCUCCAACUGAGAACAUGUAGAUGUUAGGUGCUGUCCACUUAGGAAUGCAUCCUGGACCAGAGGGAAAGGAUUCAUGGGAAACUGGCAGGCGGUGCUGGAAGACACAGUUGGUAAGGUGAGGAGGGAGCCUGUGCCAGCUGGCCGGAAGUGAGAAAUCCACCCAUCUGCACUGGCUGGCUUUGCCACAGUCUUUUCCAUUUUCAUUGGCAUCAAAGUGAUUUUAACUCCUUUUCUGAAUUUGCUAAGAAACUAUUAUUUUAAAUGUCUCUGUCAUUAUCCUGAUCUUCAGUUUCCUUCCAUAGGUCUUUAAAAAAUCCUGCCUUCCCUGUAGAGGAUAGGGUGAUUCUCCGGAAACAGCCUUCUCCUACACAGAGCUGCCCAUGUCAUCCUUUGAAGCCUGAAUUCCAUUGUCUUUCUUCUGUGCUCAUCUGGGAUUGACAGGAGUAAAAGUGCCCCAGACAGUACCUUCUGGGAGAUGACUGAAUGGACCCCAGAGUGUCCCCAGUUUAUUUCCUUCCAAUCCUUGCCCUGAUUUUAUGUAAGACAAUAUGUAGAUACACCUCUGUCCCAAAAGAUGGAAAACCACACACUGACAAACACAUUACAUUUCCUCUUUGUGGCAUUUUCAUUAUGAUCAAACUGAGUGUGGGGUACAUAAAUGUAAUACAUUAAAAUUUUAAAGUAAUUAAAAAUUUCGAAUUUAACUUUAAAAGAUACUUUAGUAUUUUCAUUUGUUUAUUCCAGGGUCAAAUAAAACAGUAAAGCCAUGAAUUAAAAGGCCCAGACCCGGGUGCCUAGCUCUUUGCUGCAGACCCUCCAUGUUAGCCUCUACGUCAGAAGGGUUCCCUUUGCCCCGUGUUAUUAGACCAGCCCGAAAUGCCUGUCCACUGUGGCUCCUCACAUCAUUCCUGGAUUUAGGAAGAUUAUUAACGAUUUUCAUUUAAUUUCCUUCUGGAUGCUUGGCAGAGAGAGAGAGAGAGAGAGAGAGAGAGAGAGAGAGAGAGAGAGAAGCAAAUACAUAUGCAAGCAAAUAACUUUUAAAUCGUCUUUGCUAAGGACAUGGCCACUCUUGUAGAAGCCUGCAUGUUCAUACUUUAAGAAGACUGAGCUUGAGAACAAGAGACCAGGUAGAUCAUGGUCCCAGCUCAGAUCUGUUCCCAGAUAUAUGGAGGAUUCGUUUCUACCAUAAAGUUUCUCCAUUGACGUACUUCUGCUUUAAGUAUCAUCAGCCUUCCAUGUCUGCAGGUUCCACAGCUAAGAGUUCAACCAAUGAUGGAGGAAAAGUAUUAGAGAAGCACACAUAUCUAUAUUGAACAUAUGCAGAUUGUUGAUUUGGAUAUUAUUUCCUGAAUGAUAUGGUUUAACAACUAACUACUUAACAUUUUAUAAGGCAAUAUCAAGAUGUUUGAAAGCAUACAGAGGAAUUGUGUAGCCUAUAAGCAAAUAACAUGCCACUGUAUUGUAUUAUUAGAAGUUCAGGGUCAGGCAUCACGGGACAUACCACAAUCCCAGUAACUGGGGGAUGAGGCAGGAGGAUUUUUUGUUCAAGGUCAGCCUGGGCUACAGAGUGAGACUUUGUAUCUUACACUACUAUAAGUUCUUUGUAUUGGUUUUUAA
This is a non-coding RNA of Peromyscus maniculatus bairdii (prairie deer mouse), 2326 nucleotides long. The record is from RefSeq and is a predicted model, not a curated record. Lineage: Eukaryota; Metazoa; Chordata; Mammalia; Rodentia; Cricetidae.